UUUUCUUUGAAAAAUUAUUUGAAAAUUACUAAAAUAAGCACAGCAUACUUCAUUUUCAGACUUCUCAUGGCAAGAGCCAUGCUAGCAUAAUUUACUAGAGGCCCUAAAAAUAAAAGAUUUAUUUUUGAAUGGUAAGAAAGAAUCAGUCAUUAGUUGUAGUUUCUGUCACAAGCCUGGGCAGCAAUACCACUAAAUAGUACAGAGUCACUUUUUUUUACACUGACUAAUAUUACUUGGGCAUUAAUAAGAAAAUUCUGCCUGUUGAGAGAUGAAGUUAUAAUCUUUCAAAUGAAACCAAGCUAAUAACUAUUCCCCUGACAAGACAAAUCUGCAGGCACUAACUAAGUUAGUGGUUAUUAUGCUUCACACUUAAUCUUGAAUAUGAUAGAUAGGGAGUGGAACUCAGGGCAAUAUUGAACAGCAGAAGAAACCAUUCCUCUAAUGUGAUAACUAACUUGUGACAACGCCUUUAACAUCUUUUUUUGUAUUCAAAACAAAGCAAGUUGAAGUAAUGUAGUCCUUUUGAAAGUGCUAAAUGUAAGAUUUGCACAGCUUUUGUCAUGAUGAGAACUUCUAAGCCCAGACACCUGCAUCAAGCAGGUUCCCAGGGGGAACCCUAGUGCGGAAGAAGGAAGUCAGCCAGUGCAUCACCAUGCUGCAGCAAGAGCAGGUCUGCAUCAGCUCGGGGCACUCACAGGGAUGAUCCCUGUUUGGUGGAGACAUCACCUGUUCCUGUCACACAAGGAUAUGAGGUGCUUCACAGACAGAGCAUCUGUAUGUGCACCAGUGUCAGCAGAUUGCCAUCUUGUUUUGUGCUGGUGGUCAGUGUUUGUGGAUCACCACUCUGCUAGAGGUCCAACAGAGCUGUCCAAGCUGCCAGGAGGACAGCAACCCAGCCCCUCCCACUGCUUCUAGACCAGCUCCUUUCAACAUCUGAUUUCCAACAGAAAUGUGCCACAGCAUGAGACUUCUGCUGUGGGUGGCACAAAACCCACAAGCAUGUCUCUGUGCCACAAGGUUUCAUCCCUAGCCUGUGCCAUCCCUACAGCAGCUGUAAGCCACUCUCAGAUCUAUGCUCAACAACAAGGGCUUGUAUGGUGCUGACUGAAUGCAUGUUUUUAGUUCUUGGUGGUUUUCUAGAGAGUAUAGAAGUUAGUUUUGUUCCAAUUUGAAAGCAGAUCAAAGAUACUCAGUAUCUCCAUUUCUCUUGAGGAUGAGGUUUCUGGAAUGGCUGACCAUUGGGGAGGUACACUGCGUGGAGCACAGCAGCCAAAAAGGUGUUUGUGCACACAGACGUGAAUGGAGAGCAGAUCAUAAAGGACAACGUGGAUAACAACAGACACAGAUGCUUGGUCAUUGAAGAGGGUGACAUGAUGGCACAGUGGCACCUUCAGUGGCACCUUUCCAUCCUUUUGUGCUUUUAUUUGUUUGUCUGGGCAAAUGUCUUAAAAAACUUUUAAAAAAAAGAGUUGUUUAAUGUCAAAUAUAAAUUGUGACUUAUUUUAAACAAUGUGUGUGUUUUAACCAGCUCUUUGACAUUAAAAAGCAUAUUUUGUCUCACAACCUGCUUAAAGCAAAACAGAAAGCUAAGCUACAGCUCCUUACAAACAAUGAAAGCAAUAAAUACAUAAAUUACUGUUUUAUGUGAGACAAUAUACUAAUGUUAACUGAAGAAAUGGAAUUAGAAAACAAACUCCCUCUGGGAACAAUUCUCACACCCCUGUUUUAGAAGGAAGCAGAGUUUACUCAUAAAUAAUUUAAUGCAUUUACUCCUGCUAGACUGGACUGACAGGUCUUCCAUAUACUAAAGCUUUGCUUCUCUGAUAAUUGCAAACUUUUUGAACUCAGAAAGUUGUCAACUGCAAAGGUCUGUACAAUCACUGAAGGACUAUCUAGGAACAUAAAGAUGUGCUCUGUAAGACAGUAGUACUGAAUUUAGCCAUCAUGCCAAUCACCAUUUAAUAAUAAUAUUAUUUCAGACCUACUUCUGUUUAUGAGCAUGUAAAUAAUAUCUUCUUCAGAGUAAUACAACAAUUCCUCAGCAACUUAAACAGUUGCCUACAUGAAUAAGCAGUAGAAAGGAAAAGACACAUUAUUACUUGGGCUUGUUUAAUGCAGUACAGCCACUAGAAUAAAAAAGAAAACAAGGCAGCUGAGUCUGUAAGCACAGCAUGAUCUGUGCUUGCAGACUCAGCUGUACAGCAGUACAAAAGAACCAGAACUGAAAAAGAACUUCAUGAAGUGUGUCCCCUGUUACCUGCCUCAGAAAGCAACCUCAUGAAAUACUGGACUUUGUUAUUAGAUUGGUUAGCAUUUCCUCUUCAUUUCUAAUUUUAAUGUCGUGUUUUUAUCUACUUCAUUCACAGUGCUGCUAUAUCUUCUCUUAAUUCACAGAAACAGAUUCAGAGUUCAUCAAACCUAUUUUCCACACUAAGACUACAGAGCCAGUAUAAUUGGUGGCUUCUUCUAACUCUCAUACUUUUGACUUAAUCUUUCUUUAUUAAUCACUCAAAUGCAUCUUCAUGAGCAUACUAUGAACCAUCUAUCCCUAACUUCAACUUUUAUGUAGCUUUUCUUUUCGCAGAUGACUCUCAGGCCUCAUAGCUGGCUGGAGAUUUCUUAAGACUCAAGUGGAAGAGAGCUCGGAAGCUGGUCGCUUGACUCAGAAACUAACAGAUUUACAGGAAACUGACCAGCAGUGUUGGUGCAGGAGGCCCCGGACUUGCAAAAUCCUCAGUCAGUAGUCAUGUGCUACAUUCCUCUGAAGACAGGGAGAAAAGCACAAACCUCAGCACCAUCAUCUCAGGAUCUGCCUCUGGAAGAACAGCAGCAGCCCAGCAGCUGGUAGCCCCCACCUUUCACAUGUAUAAAUGAGCAAUGUUUGAACAUGCUCCUGAGCCACGUUACAGCCACGACCCCAAAGCACCUGGGGCACACACACUUGAGUACAAUUGCAGUGUUUUAAAACAUAUUUAAGUAUGAAGAGCAAAAGGUCGAUAAAUUGCUUCUGGACACUCAUCUCAAGCGUGUGAUGCCAGCUCAGCAGCUGUCACCAUUUUCAAGUUGCAGUGUCUUUAUCUCUGGUGCCCCACCCCAACAGGAUUUGCACACAACCUUUCCGAGGGGAGGAACAGAUACUUGCACUCAGGAGUGCUCAGGGUUGUAAGGCCUAUGCAGCACCCAACGUCAAAGAAAACAGCAACAGCAUGUUGAAUAACUGGUUUGAUGUGUAUGCUCAUCACCUUCUAUUGUACACUUGUUUCCUAGAAGUGCCCUGAAACAGGCACAUUUAUGGUGUCCUGCUGAUAUGAACAUUCUUACAUUUGUCAAAUACAGAACAUUGGUGCCACUAGUUUUUUAGCUUGUGUCUGAUUUCACUGAAUAGUCAGACUUGAAUUGGAUAGAGAAUUGGUUAGACUUAGUGUCAUUUAUGUUUUUUUUUUUUUUUGUAGGAUCUAUGAGAUACAAAAGCACUGAGAGACUUUUCAUCUCACAAAAAAAAAGCUGAUCAGGCUUUCACAGAGGGCACUGUGAUGUGCCUGUCUGAUAUGCAUGACCUUGUGUUAGAGAGACUUGUGAAAGUGUUUGUGCUGCUAUUUACUGGGUAUCAAAUUAUAUAUAUGUGCUUAUUAAGAGAAUAACAUGUGAGUUUGCCUAUAAUCAUUGUAGCUAAUAUUGUUAUGCCUCAAACAAAGAGUAAAUGGAAAUCUUUCUCAAUACA
Non-coding RNA from Zonotrichia albicollis (white-throated sparrow), 3721 nucleotides. Lineage: Eukaryota; Metazoa; Chordata; Aves; Passeriformes; Passerellidae. The record is from RefSeq and is a predicted model, not a curated record.